CCUACCCUUCCUUUUUCAUACAUGCACAUACUAUAUAUUUACAUUAACUUCCAGUGCCCGUGGAGAAACUGGUGUCGGUCUAGCUUACUAAGUUGAAAACGCUUGUUGAUCACAGAUUUCGACAGGAAUUCAAAGGAUCUGAGAGAAUUAAUGGUUGAUAUGAUGGGUCAAGUUAAUGUUAAGUUCUUAGUCAGGUUUUUGGAAAGAAGCAACGGUAUGUUCAUCGUUAGGACUCGCGGUAAACGUAGCCAUGCAGGAGACGAUUCAAGACAAUAGGACAGAUUUAGACAAAGUGCAGGAUUUUAAUGAAGACUCGCACCGGUACCCUGACAUGAACAUCUAUAUUUUUCGAGCCUCGAAACCAGCCUCGCUUAUGAUCAUGCCGAGCCAUAGCCGUGAUGGAAGUUGCCAGGAAACAACAGGUUAACAUAUCAUCAUAAAGUAAAUAGGCUUAUAACUCUGUCUACAUGUCUUCGCUUCCAUUAUCAUAGAACUUUAUAAAAUCGUCAUGCUGAAGUUGAAGACGGUAUUUAAAACUGUAUAACAUGAAACAACAGAAUGAUAUGUUUAAUGUUUCUCUUUUAUAAAUUGAUGAAAUUCUUGUUUGUUUACAAAACAGAAUCUGUAUGAAUAUCC
Ostrea edulis (European flat oyster) is the source of this 636-nucleotide long non-coding RNA. RefSeq lists it as uncharacterized. The transcript has 2 exons. NCBI's taxonomy places the organism in Eukaryota, Metazoa, Mollusca, Bivalvia, Ostreida, Ostreidae. The record is from RefSeq and is a predicted model, not a curated record.